AAAAGAGAAGCGGUGUGACGUAAGCUAUAGUGUUAUCUUACCGCUGACACCUGUUUAGCGUGGCGGAGUGGUGGCAGAGGCUUCGAGCACGCACCAGCCGCCACAACACCACUAGCACCCACCCAGGAUACACAAGGUUAUAGGCGCUCCACCUACUAAUGAUGAAGAUGCCAGUGAGGGCGGCGAUGCUGGUGACAGUGGUGUUGGGUGUGGUGCAGGUUGGCUGGUGCUUCGUGCCGACCCACAACCAGCUCACAAAGACCCUGACCCCAACCACGGACUGCAGGGAUAUCAAGUUUACUGACCCUUCGCGGCGCAGCGCAGUGAGGGAGUCGGUACUGCGCGCCAUGUGUACCAAGGCUGCGCCGCACCUUGAUCUCACCGACAAGAUCAAGCAGUUCGCUGUCUUCCUCCUCCAGCGCGAUGACUUCGAUGACCAGGCCAGGUGGCACUCUGGUGAAGCAAAGGACGUGCUAGCCGACCCCUACUGGGUAGUGAACCAGGUCGAGGAACUCCCCACCACGAAGUACCACUGGUAUUCCCACGGUCUGCCAAUGUGGCCCCUCCCCCACCAAGCUCUACCUAACACCACCACCAGCAAGCUUCCCAGCCUCAAGAAGAAGAAGCCCGUCGACUGGCCAAAUUACGGCUUUGCUACGCCCAUCUACUUCGCCUCUAAUGCCUGGAGGAACCAAGCCUGGAGUCUGGAGGAAUUUUUCCAGCAGAAGAGUAAGAAGACGUCUCCCUUCAAGAGCCACAAGGAUUUCCACAAAUUGGCCAAGGAUAUAGUGGCCAACCUUGACGGCUUGAAGGUGGAGAGCUACAGCGAAUGGCCCUUCCUCAAGUAUUCUCUCGUCCCCAUGGUCAAAUCUAUGGUGGAGCGCAACAAGGGUCUCUGCCCUGACGACCUGUACAUCUAUCAUCGCGUCACCCCUUGCCACCCUAGCGAGGCAGCCCACCUGUCCUGUGCACAGGCCGCCCUAGACGCCCGGACCCUGCUGACCCUGGCCGCUUGUCGCACCACCAACGUUAUCGUCGGCUACACCCAGGACUUGGCACCCAGUUGAUGAGUACCCGACGGCCUUGACACACACGUACUGACGCCAUGGUUAGACAUACAGGUACUGACGUCAUAGUUAGACACAUAGAUACUGACGUCAUAGUUAGACAUACAGGUACUGACGUCAGGUCAUGUGGCCCCAGCUUACGUCAGGGUUAUGAAUUUAUUUGUUGUCUUGCACUUCAUAAUUACAGCAACAUUAAAGUUUUUAUUGUUCUGCAUUUAUCUAUUUUAUUCAGCGCUUGAAGAUUUAAUUAUCUUUAUGAUACGGUACUUUUACUGCCUUUGCAAAUUAUACAAUCUUAUUAGGUUACUAGAAGGGUUAUCCAGUGGUGCCUAGGUCUAUCUUUUUGGCUGACCCCCACCCCCACUCUGUCUCUAUAUAUAUAUCUCGCCCCUUUCUCUAUCUCAUAAACUGUAAUAUUAUGAAAAGAGGAAAACUGCUCAAAACCUCUACAGAAAAAUAGAUUCUCUUGUACAGCUAUAGCUUACUUGUACAGCUAUAGCUUACUUGUACAGCUAUAGCUUACUUGUACAGCUAUAGCUUACUUGUACAGGUAUAGCUUACUUGUACAGCUAUAGCUUACUUGUACAGGUAUAGCUUACUUGUACAGCUAUAGCUUACUUGUACAGGUAUGCAGAGAGUAAUUCACAAUAACAUGGUUGUAAAUAAAUAUCCCCAAGCCACGUGUACAUGAAAUGAAGAGAAAGUGACGACGUUUCACCAUGUCAAGGACAAAAACAUCGUCACUCAUUUGAUUUCAUGUAUGGGUUAGGUUAUACAUGUAUGGGUAGUACCAAAAUAUAAUAAUACCGAUUUCUACUUUUCUAAUUGCCUUUUCCGUCAAUAUAUGUGCGAUGGUCCUCAUCGUUAUCAUUACUACCUAUACAGGAGAAUGGGCUGGUAAUACCACUACCAGCCUAUUACUUCUUCCAAAUUAUACAACCUAUUAUCUCAGGACAAUAUUAAAAUUGUUUUCAUAACACAGGAUGUCAUUACGCUUACCACCAACUUUGUUCUUUCAUCCUGUCGUUACAGUAUUUUAACAUUACUGUAAACAGGAAAUUAACUUCUCUGUUAUAUUCUGACACUUGCAUUUAUUUUGUUUCUAUUUGUUAUAAAAUUGCGUUAAACAAAUUUGUCAGAGAGAGAGAGACAGAGAGAGAGAGAGAGAAGGGCGGGGGGUCAACCAAGAAACCUAUGUUAACAGCGGACUCUAAUUUCAUCAUUUAUUACUUUCAGGACUACACAAAUGAUGCUCUGUAGAGAGAGCAAGAUGCCAGACCAACAGGAUUUACGACGCAAGUCAAGGAAUCCGCAUA
Non-coding RNA from Procambarus clarkii (red swamp crayfish), 2383 nucleotides. The record is from RefSeq and is a predicted model, not a curated record. NCBI's taxonomy places the organism in Eukaryota, Metazoa, Arthropoda, Malacostraca, Decapoda, Cambaridae.